Molecule: ribosomal RNA, 446 nt
Filed under: uncultured bacterium
Lineage: Bacteria
Description: bacterial SSU rRNA
Rfam family: Bacterial small subunit ribosomal RNA
Source: RNAcentral
CCAGACUCCUACGGGAGGCAGCAGUGGGGAAUAUUGCACAAUGGGCGAAAGCCUGAUGCAGCAACGCCGCGUGAAGGAAGACGGUUUUCGGAUUGUAAACUUCUGUUCUUAGUGAAGAAUAAUGACGGUAACUAAGGAGCAAGCCACGGCUAACUACGUGCCAGCAGCCGCGGUAAUACGGAGGAUGCGAGCGUUAUUCGGAUUUAUUGGGUUUAAAGGGUGCGUAGGCGGUCCGGAAAGUCAGCGGUAAAAGCCGGGGGCUCACCCCCGGCGAGCCGUUGAAACUGUCGGACUAGAGACGGCGAGAAGUACGCGGAAUGCGCGGUGUAGCGGUGAAAUGCAUAGAUAUCGCGCAGAACUCCGAUUGCGAAGGCAGCGUACCGGCGCCGGACUGACGCUGAGGCACGAAAGCGUGGGUAUCGAACAGGAUUAGAUACCCGAGUAAC